RNAcentral lists this transfer RNA (64 nucleotides) under Heterocephalus glaber (naked mole-rat). It matches the Rfam family "tRNA", at positions 1 to 62 of the family's 71-position model. Rfam says of the family: Transfer RNA (tRNA) molecules are approximately 80 nucleotides in length. Their secondary structure includes four short double-helical elements and three loops (D, anti-codon, and T loops). Lineage: Eukaryota; Metazoa; Chordata; Mammalia; Rodentia; Bathyergidae. The record is from Rfam by way of RNAcentral.
GGGGAUUUAGCUUAGUGGUUUCAGCGUCUGCCUUGCAAGCACUAGGUCCCGAGUUCAAUCCCCG